RNAcentral lists this long non-coding RNA (424 nucleotides) under Solanum tuberosum (potato). Its description in RNAcentral is "long non-coding RNA (STUB_LNC003088)". The record is from RNAcentral. Lineage: Eukaryota; Viridiplantae; Streptophyta; Magnoliopsida; Solanales; Solanaceae.
CUUCUUCAUCCACCACAAUCUCCUUCCCCUUGUUGAACUUAUCGUAAAUAUAAUAUGGGAAAUAUUGGCUGGAAUUCUCUUCAUUUGCAACUUCAUGUCUAUUCAAGUCCAGCAUUUCCAUUAGCAGCAUUCCAAAGCUGUAAACAUCAGCUUUGUAAGAGAUUGCUCCAAUGCUUCUGCUGAUCAACUCUGGUGCUACAUAUCCAAUCGUUCCGCGAGCAGCUGUGAGAGUCACAAUGCUAAGAGAUUGCUCCAAUGCUUCUGCUGAUCAACUCUGGUGCUACAUAUCCAAUCGUUCCGCGAGCAGCUGUGAGAGUCACAAUGCUAUUAUCUGUUGGAUAUAACUUUGCAAGCCCAAAGUCAGAAAUCUUUGGAAUGAAAUUCUCAUCCAAAAGAAUGUUGUGUGGCUUGAUAUCAAAAUGCA